RNAcentral lists this ribosomal RNA (501 nucleotides) under uncultured bacterium. RNAcentral describes it as "bacterial SSU rRNA". It matches the Rfam family "Bacterial small subunit ribosomal RNA", at positions 10 to 507 of the family's 1533-position model. The record is from RNAcentral.
AGUUUGAUCAUGGCUCAGAUUGAACGCUGGCGGAAUGCUUCACACAUGCAAGUCGAACGGCAGCACGGGGCAACCUGGUGGCGAGUGGCGAACGGGUGAGUAAUACAUCGGAACGUGCCCAAUCGUGGGGGAUAACGUAGCGAAAGUUACGCUAAUACCGCAUACGAUCUACGGAUGAAAGCGGGGGAUCGCAAGACCUCGCGCGAGUGGAGCGGCCGAUGUCAGAUUAGGUAGUUGGUGGGGUAAAGGCUCACCAAGCCAACGAUCUGUAGCUGGGUCUGAGAGGACGACCAGCCACACUGGAACUGAGACACGGUCCAGACUCCUACGGGAGGCAGCAGUGGGGAAUUUUGGACAAUGGGCGCAAGCCUGAUCCAGCCAUUCCGCGUGCAGGAUGAAGGCCUUCGGGUUGUAAACUGCUUUUGUACGAAACGAAACGGCGAGCUCUAAUACAGUUUGCUAAUGACGGUACCGUAAGAAUAAGCACCGGCUAACUACGUG